UUUCUUAGAGACCUAAAUAAAUUUAGUUAAAAUAAAUAAAAAUAGAGCCUGACCUAGUGAGAUAUCUCAACAUACAGCACGAUGAACACUUUCUCCAAAUUCGAAUGCAGUCUAGUAAUACAAGCCUAACACAAAUCAGGUCCUGCCUUGACAACUACAAGCGCCCAAAGUCAUCCAGUCAAUACUUAAAACAGAAACGUUGUGCUCCUGCCUCCACAAUUGUAUCAGCAGCGAUGUGUCAAGGGAAACCCAAAACACUGGAACAAAAUCUCAGACUCGAUCCUACAGAAUUACAGUUGUGCCGACCGGACAGGCAAAACAUGCUGGGGGCCCCUAGCAUUUUCCAGCAUCUUGGGGCAGCUAAGAGAAUCUCAGGCGUCAUUGGCAUAUGGGGACUCGUCGCGUUGUGGCUGCUGUCCUGGGGAUCCACUAUAGCUUCUUCUGGCAUCAGGAGGUGGUGGUGGCGACCUGCUCACGUCUCGGGCUGCCGGUGGUGACCUGCUCACGUCUCGGGCUGCCGGUGGUGACCUGCUGUUAUUUCUGGGAGGAGGCGGCGGCAGCGGCGGUGACCUGCUGAGACUCCGUGCAGGAGAUCCCAGUGGCGACCUGCUGUAA
This 615-nucleotide unclassified non-coding RNA is filed under the name Zea mays. RNAcentral describes it as "misc RNA Zm00001eb246790". Lineage: Eukaryota; Viridiplantae; Streptophyta; Magnoliopsida; Poales; Poaceae. The record is from RNAcentral.